AAUGUGAAGUCAACCGACAGGGCUAUGGCAAUUGACACAUUCGAGAUGUCCAACAUAUGGAAAAGGAAACAACCAAAAGUGAAGCUGGAUCCACACAUGUACAAGUACAUCCUUGGGAUCAUCAAUGAGAACCACCACUGGAAACUCACUGUCAUGAUCCCAUCACAAAAAAAGGCUCUCUUACUCGAUCCUCUUGGGGAAUCCAGUACCGACAUAAAUAGUUGCAAAGAUGUAACAAGAGCCUUCAUGAGACUUAGGGGGAUUAAUGUGUCCAGAUGGGGAUGCGACACAGUCCCACACCCUCGUCAGACUGACAGUACCUCCUGCGGGCCCUUUGUAUUGAAAAAAUCCGAAAAGCAAAAAAUGUCCCACAUUAGGGCAAUCCACCCUACUUAAGGGUGAAAACUGCAAAUUCAAUACAUCAAGAAAAGGUGUAGGGGAAAUGUGAAUGGCAAUCGCAACUGCUCUCCUUCAGAAUACUGAUGACCUGACUGAGGUGUGCCACCAAUGUGGACAGACAGACA
Gadus morhua (Atlantic cod) is the source of this 524-nucleotide long non-coding RNA. NCBI's taxonomy places the organism in Eukaryota, Metazoa, Chordata, Actinopteri, Gadiformes, Gadidae. The record is from Ensembl.